GCCUUGGUGGCUUAGUUGGUUAAAGCGUGAGUCUCAUAUCUGAGUGUCAUCUCAAGGUCGUGGGUUCGACUCCCUCCCGAGGCA
RNAcentral lists this transfer RNA (84 nucleotides) under Lipomyces starkeyi. RNAcentral's name for it is "tRNA-Met". It matches the Rfam family "tRNA". Rfam says of the family: Transfer RNA (tRNA) molecules are approximately 80 nucleotides in length. Their secondary structure includes four short double-helical elements and three loops (D, anti-codon, and T loops). RNAcentral also lists the same sequence under 1 other name. The record is from RNAcentral. Lineage: Eukaryota; Fungi; Ascomycota; Lipomycetes; Lipomycetales; Lipomycetaceae.